UUGGAGUAGUUGCCAUAGGCACGCCUUUGGAUAUGAGCAGGCCUCUUGGUAGCCCCACCAUAUCCAUGGAAAUCUUGGGAAAGACUGGAAUGAAGGAGCUGGCCAGCUACCUUCUGCAUGACAGUUGGGUAUUGAACUUGAUCAACCAUUGUGACUUUCCCUGCUAGGUGGAUGCGAUUGGUGGGUAGAAUUUUCCCUCCGCCUCUCGCAAAGCUUUGAAAGGAGGAAUCGGCA
Molecule: unclassified non-coding RNA, 234 nt
Filed under: Hevea brasiliensis (rubber tree)
Lineage: Eukaryota; Viridiplantae; Streptophyta; Magnoliopsida; Malpighiales; Euphorbiaceae
Source: RNAcentral